Mycena latifolia is the source of this 92-nucleotide non-coding RNA. The record is from the annotation of a GenBank genome assembly. NCBI's taxonomy places the organism in Eukaryota, Fungi, Basidiomycota, Agaricomycetes, Agaricales, Mycenaceae.
UCGGAUGUGGUGCACGGUGCACGCCCGUUCUUCUUGUCGUUGAAUUAGGAUCGUUGGAGUGGGAGACCUGGGUUCGAUUCCCAGCGUCCGAA